CAGACCGCCAGCUAAGGUCCCAAAGUCAUGGUUAAGUGGGAAACGAUGUGGGAAGGCCCAGACAGCCAGGAUGUUGGCUUAGAAGCAGCCAUCAUUUAAAGAAAGCGUAAUAGCUCACUGGUCGAGUCGGCCUGCGCGGAAGAUGUAACGGGGCUAAACCAUGCACCGAAGCUGCGGCAGCGACGCUUAUGCGUUGUUGGGUAGGGGAGCGUUCUGUAAGCCUGUGAAGGUGUGCUGUGAGGCAUGCUGGAGGUAUCAGAAGUGCGAAUGCUGACAUAAGUAACGAUAAAGCGGGUGAAAAGCCCGCUCGCCGGAAGACCAAGGGUUCCUGUCCAACGUUAAUCGGGGCAGGGUGAGUCGACCCCUAAGGCGAGGCCGAAAGGCGUAGUCGAUGGGAAACAGGUUAAUAUUCCUGUACUUGGUGUUACUGCGAAGGGGGGACGGAGAAGGCUAUGUUGGCCGGGCGACGGUUGUCCCGGUUUAAGCGUGUAGGCUGGUUUUCCAGGCAAAUCCGGAAAAUCAAGGCUGAGGCGUGAUGACGAGGCACUACGGUGCUGAAGCAACAAAUGCCCUGCUUCCAGGAAAAGCCUCUAAGCAUCAGGUAACAUCAAAUCGUA
RNAcentral lists this ribosomal RNA (617 nucleotides) under Escherichia coli. Its description in RNAcentral is "partial 23S ribosomal RNA". It matches the Rfam family "Bacterial large subunit ribosomal RNA", at positions 1028 to 1646 of the family's 2925-position model. Lineage: Bacteria; Pseudomonadati; Pseudomonadota; Gammaproteobacteria; Enterobacterales; Enterobacteriaceae. The record is from RNAcentral.